RNAcentral lists this ribosomal RNA (464 nucleotides) under uncultured bacterium. RNAcentral's name for it is "bacterial SSU rRNA". It matches the Rfam family "Bacterial small subunit ribosomal RNA", at positions 398 to 852 of the family's 1533-position model. The record is from RNAcentral.
CGCGUGAGUGAUGAAGGCUUUCGGGUCGUAAAGCUCUGUCAGAGGGGAAGAAACACCCGGAGGAUAAUACUCUUCGGGCUUGACGGUACCCUCAAAGGAAGCACCGGCUAACUCCGUGCCAGCAGCCGCGGUAAUACGGAGGGUGCGAGCGUUGUUCGGAAUUAUUGGGCGUAAAGCGCGUGUAGGCGGUUUGUUAAGUCUGAUGUGAAAGCCCCGGGCUCAACCCGGGAAGUGCAUUGGAUACUGGCAGGCUUGAGUACGGGAGAGGGAAGUGGAAUUCCGAGUGUAGGAGUGAAAUCCGUAGAUAUUCGGAGGAACACCGGUGGCGAAGGCGGCUUCCUGGACCGAUACUGACGCUGAGACGCGAAAGCGUGGGGAGCAAACAGGAUUAGAUACCCUGGUAGUCCACGCCGUAAACGAUGGGUACUAGGUGUCGCGGGUAUUGACCCCUGCGGUGCCGAAGC